CCUACGGGUGGCAGCAGUAGAGAAUUUUCGUCAAUGGGCGCAAGCCUGAACGAGCAAUGCCGCGUGAACGAGGAAGGUCUUCGGAUCGUAAAGUUCUGUUGAAGGGGAAAAAGAGCGGAGAGAGGAAAUGAACUCCGAUUGAUAUUACCCUUCGAGGAAGUCACGGCUAACUACGUGCCAGCAGCGGCGGUAAUACGUAGGUGGCGAGCGUUAUCCGGAAUGAUUGGGGGUAAAGGGUGCGUAGGCGGCCUGCUAAGCCUGGAGUGAAAGGUACCGGCUCAACCGGUACAGGCUCUGGAAACUGGCGGGCUAGAGAGCAGGAGAGGGCGGUGGAACUCCAUGUGUAGCGGUAAAAUGCGUAGAUAUAUGGAAGAACACCAGUGGCGAAGGCGGCCGCCUGGCCUGUUACUGACGCUGAGGCACGAAAGCGUGGGGAGCAAAUAGGAUUAGAUACCCCAGUAGUC
Molecule: ribosomal RNA, 464 nt
Filed under: uncultured bacterium
Lineage: Bacteria
Description: partial 16S ribosomal RNA
Rfam family: Bacterial small subunit ribosomal RNA
Source: RNAcentral